This 250-nucleotide ribosomal RNA is filed under the name uncultured bacterium. RNAcentral describes it as "partial 16S ribosomal RNA". It matches the Rfam family "Bacterial small subunit ribosomal RNA", at positions 524 to 776 of the family's 1533-position model. The record is from RNAcentral.
UACGUAGGGUGCAAGCGUUGUCCGGAAUUAUUGGGCGUAAAGAGCUCGUAGGCGGUCUGUCGCGUCGGCUGUGAAAACUCGGGCUCAACCCGAGCCUGCAGUCGAUACGGCAGACUAGAGUGCUGUAGGGGAGACUGGAAUUCCUGGUGUAGCGGUGAAAUGCGCAGAUAUCAGGAGGAACACCGGUGGCGAAGGCGGGUCUCUGGCGAGUAACUGACGCUGAGGAGCGAAAGCGUGGGGAGCGAACAGG